CCUACGGGAGGCAGCAGUGGGGAAUUUUCCGCAAUGGGCGAAAGCCUGACGGAGCAACGCCGCGUGAGGGAUGAAGGCCUCUGGGCUGUAAACCUCUUUUCUCAAGGAAGAAGAUCUGACGGUACUUGAGGAAUAAGCCACGGCUAAUUCCGUGCCAGCAGCCGCGGUAAUACGGGAGUGGCAAGCGUUAUCCGGAAUUAUUGGGCGUAAAGCGUCCGCAGGCGGCCCUUCAAGUCUGCUGUUAAAAAGUGGAGCUUAACUCCAUCAUGGCAGUGGAAACUGUUGGGCUUGAGUGUGGUAGGGGCAGAGGGAAUUCCCGGUGUAGCGGUGAAAUGCGUAGAUAUCGGGAAGAACACCAGUGGCGAAGGCGCUCUGCUGGGCCAUAACUGACGCUCAUGGACGAAAGCCAGGGGAGCGAAAGGGAUUAGAUACCCCUGUAGUCCUGGCCGUAAACGAUGAACACUAGGUGUCGGGGGAAUCGACCCCCUCGGUGUCGUAGCCAACGCGUUAAGUGUUCCGCCUGGGGAUUACUCACCAAGUGUGAAACUCAAAGGAAUUGACGG
RNAcentral lists this ribosomal RNA (563 nucleotides) under uncultured bacterium. Its description in RNAcentral is "bacterial SSU rRNA". It matches the Rfam family "Bacterial small subunit ribosomal RNA", at positions 338 to 916 of the family's 1533-position model. The record is from RNAcentral.